This 834-nucleotide ribosomal RNA is filed under the name uncultured bacterium. RNAcentral's name for it is "bacterial SSU rRNA". It matches the Rfam family "Bacterial small subunit ribosomal RNA", at positions 66 to 896 of the family's 1533-position model. The record is from RNAcentral.
ACGGUAACAGGGAGCUUGCUCCGCUGACGAGUGGCGAACGGGUGAGUAAUAUAUCGGAACGUACCCAAGAGUGGGGGAUAACGUAGCGAAAGUUACGCUAAUACCGCAUACGAUCUAUGGAUGAAAGCAGGGGACCUUCGGGCCUUGUGCUCCUGGAGCGGCCGAUAUCUGAUUAGCUAGUUGGUGAGGUAAAGGCUCACCAAGGCGACGAUCAGUAGCUGGUCUGAGAGGACGACCAACCACACUGGAACUGAGACACGGUCCAGACUCCUACGGGAGGCAGCAGUGGGGAAUUUUGGACAAUGGGCGCAAGCCUGAUCCAGCAAUGCCGCGUGAGUGAAGAAGGCCUUCGGGUUGUAAAGCUCUUUUGUCAGGGAAGAAACGGCUGUGGCUAAUAUCCACGGCUAAUGACGGUACCUGAAGAAUAAGCACCGGCUAACUACGUGCCAGCAGCCGCGGUAAUACGUAGGGUGCAAGCGUUAAUCGGAAUUACUGGGCGUAAAGCGUGCGCAGGCGGUUUUGUAAGUCUGUCGUGAAAUCCCCGGGCUCAACCUGGGAAUUGCGAUGGAGACUGCAAGGCUAGAAUCUGGCAGAGGGGGGUAGAAUUCCACGUGUAGCAGUGAAAUGCGUAGAGAUGUGGAGGAACACCGAUGGCGAACGCAGCCCCCUGGGUCAAGAUUGACGCUCAUGCACGAAAGCGUGGGGAGCAAACAGGAUUAGAUACCCUGGUAGUCCACGCCCUAAACGAUGUCUACUAGUUGUCGGGUUUUAAUUAACUUGGUAACGCAGCUAACGCGUGAGUAGACCGCCUGGGGGAGUACGGUCGCAAGAUUA